AUUGAACGCUGGCGGCAGGCCUAACACAUGCAAGUCGAGCGGAUGAAGGGAGCUUGCUCCUGGAUUCAGCGGCGGACGGGUGAGUAAUGCCUAGGAUUCUGCCUGGUAGUGGGGGAUAACGUCCGGAAACGGGCGCUAAUACCGCAUACGUCUUGAGGGAGAAAGUGGGGGAUCUUCGGACCUCACGCUAUCAGAUGAGCCUAGGUCGGAUUAGCUAGUUGGUGGGGUAAAGGCCUACCAAGGCGACGAUCCGUAACUGGUCUGAGAGGAUGAUCAGUCACACUGGAACUGAGACACGGUCCAGACUCCUACGGGAGGCAGCAGUGGGGAAUAUUGGACAAUGGGCGAAAGCCUGAUCCAGCCAUGCCGCGUGUGUGAAGAAGGUCUUCGGAUUGUAAAGCACUUUAAGUUGGGAGGAAGGGCAGUAAGUUAAUACCUUGCUGUUUUGACGUUACCAACAGAAUAAGCACCGGCUAACUUCGUG
RNAcentral lists this ribosomal RNA (484 nucleotides) under uncultured bacterium. Its description in RNAcentral is "partial 16S ribosomal RNA". It matches the Rfam family "Bacterial small subunit ribosomal RNA", at positions 30 to 507 of the family's 1533-position model. The record is from RNAcentral.